RNAcentral lists this transfer RNA (82 nucleotides) under Camelus bactrianus (Bactrian camel). It matches the Rfam family "tRNA". Rfam says of the family: Transfer RNA (tRNA) molecules are approximately 80 nucleotides in length. Their secondary structure includes four short double-helical elements and three loops (D, anti-codon, and T loops). Further hydrogen bonds mediate the characteristic L-shaped molecular structure. tRNAs have two regions of fundamental functional importance: the anti-codon, which is responsible for specific mRNA codon recognition, and the 3' end, to which the tRNAs corresponding amino acid is attached (by aminoacyl-tRNA synthetases). tRNAs cope with the degeneracy of the genetic code in two manners: having more than one tRNA (with a specific anti-codon) for a particular amino acid; and 'wobble' base-pairing, i.e. permitting non-standard base-pairing at the 3rd anti-codon position. The record is from Rfam by way of RNAcentral. Lineage: Eukaryota; Metazoa; Chordata; Mammalia; Artiodactyla; Camelidae. RNAcentral also lists the same sequence under 1 other name.
GUGGGUAUAGCUCAGUGGUAGAGCACAUGCUUAGCACACAUGAGCAUUCAUGAGGUCCUGGGUUCAAUCCCCAGUACUGCCA